AGUGAACGCUGGCGGUAGGCCUAACACAUGCAAGUCGAACGGCAGCACAGUAAGAGCUUGCUCUUACGGUGGCGAGUGGCGGACGGGUGAGGAAUACAUCGGAAUCUACUUUUUCGUGGGGGGUAACGGAGGGAAACUUACGCUAAUACCGCAUACGACCUACGGGUGAAAGCAGGGGAUCUUCGGACCUUGCGCGAUUGAAUGAGCCGAUGUCGGAUUAGCUAGUUGGCGGGGUAAAGGCCCACCAAGGCGACGAUCCGUAGCUGGUCUGAGAGGAUGAUCAGCCACACUGGAACUGAGACACGGUCCAGACUCCUACGGGAGGCAGCAGUGGGGAAUAUUGGACAAUGGGCGCAAGCCUGAUCCAGCCAUACCGCGUGGGUGAAGAAGGCCUUCGGGUUGUAAAGCCCUUUUGUUGGGAAAGAAAAGCAGCAGGUUAAUACCCCGCUGUUCUGACGGUACCCAAAGAAUAAGCACCGGCUAACUUCGUG
This 491-nucleotide ribosomal RNA is filed under the name uncultured bacterium. RNAcentral's name for it is "partial 16S ribosomal RNA". It matches the Rfam family "Bacterial small subunit ribosomal RNA", at positions 29 to 507 of the family's 1533-position model. The record is from RNAcentral.